UGGAAAAGUGCCUCUUAGGCUCUCAUUAGAUCUGGACACACCUUUUAACCAGUAUUCUGAGUUGGCGUAGGGCCGAUCGUGCAUGCUGGUGGCGAAGCCCAUUCUUGGUCUGGUUCUUCUGAGGCUCCAGCCAGAAUAUGUCUCAUUUAGUGGCUCAGUGAAGGGGUUGGAAGUCAGAGGCUCUGGAUGAAAGCUAGCUGCCUUCCUCAGGACUGGUACCGGGGCCACGUGUCAUGAGAUUGUGUGUGAUAUAAGAUGUGCGAAGGUUCUGUUAGGAUCUGUCCAAAUACCAGGCACAGUUAGGAUUUUUUCUUAUUAAUGCACAUGAGAUUGUAAGACCACACUUUCUUUUAAAUCACAGUGUAGCUCUGAUGAACAGCUCAGUAGGCAGGGUUUUUUGAAAAACAAACUUUCUUCCACUCGGAGCUCAUGGACAUGGAGCAAGGGACCUGGAGCUGAGAAGUGGAGCUCUGGUCCUAGGGCCACCUCUCUGGGUUCCCAAAGUCCCCUUGGAAUGCUGUAACCCCGCAUUGUUCUAGAAUCAUUGCUUUUCAUGUCCUUCUCCCCACCCCUAGACAGUCAGCCCUUUGAAGGCAAGGACUAUGUCCUAUUCCACCUUGAAUUCUCAUCACCAAGCGGAACGCCUGACACCUAAUCUAGUCAGUGCUUACUAAGUGCUCAUUAUCAAUGCAAGAAUAACAGAGCUAUGGAACCUGGCAGCCACCUCUUUUCUUUGGGCCUCAGUCUUCUCAUGCAGAACUUGGGAUUGGACUAAAUUGGAUCUCCUAGGCUGCCUCUGACUCUAACAAUUCUCUGAUUUAAAUUAUUCUUCAUCUGGAUGUAAUCCACCUUGCUUUUCCAUCCCAGGCUCUGUUCUCACUCAUGGCUGAUGGGCAAAGGCGACUAAGGAGGCACGGCUCCGUGAGGAUGUCCUUACAACUUUGCAACCCCCAAGGAAAAAGAGGUUGUUUUCCCAAUAUCUACUGUAAAACCUAAGAGGAAAAUUUCACGUUGCUGCAGCUUGGAUCAUGCAUUUAUCAUUUGGACCACCUCUGAGGACAGGGAGUUGCAAUGUGGAUUUUAUGGAAUAGAUGCUAUGUGGUGGAAUCCUGAGUCACGGCCAAACAGCAAAUGCCAGCAAGAGUAGAGUAGGAGGCAUUUCUGUGUACACUUUGGGAAAAAGUCCAUUCCUCACUUGGUUUCAUUUCUGGCCUGAGCCGCUGUGUCCUCCACCUGAAGCCCUGACCUCUCCGUUACUGACUGGAUCCCAAUGUGCCACAGUUCACCUGCAUAAGGAGGGGGUCGAAGAAUAGAGGAAGUUAACCUUUCCAGUGCUACCUGCGGGCUGAGAAUGACGCACACAGCUUUUUUGAUACCCGGAAGUGAGACAAACUCAUAAGAUGGGGUGAGGAAAUGAGACAUCAAAAGAUUAAGUGACUUGCUAAAAUUUACACUGCCUACGAAAGCUGACCUGGAAUGUGAACCAGAAAUUGUCCUUAACCAAAUCACCUCACUGUCUCUCAAGAGAUGGGGUCUCACUACAUUGCCCAGGCUGGCUCUCAAAU
RNAcentral lists this long non-coding RNA (1565 nucleotides) under Homo sapiens (human). RNAcentral describes it as "HSALNT0348753". Lineage: Eukaryota; Metazoa; Chordata; Mammalia; Primates; Hominidae. The record is from RNAcentral.